Molecule: unclassified non-coding RNA, 262 nt
Filed under: Hevea brasiliensis (rubber tree)
Lineage: Eukaryota; Viridiplantae; Streptophyta; Magnoliopsida; Malpighiales; Euphorbiaceae
Source: RNAcentral
GAUUGGAUGAGUUGGUAGUUAGCUGCAGCAACUCUAAAGAUGCUUUUCGUAUUAUCUCAACUUUCAUGUGUCCAACUCCAAUCUUUAUAUUAGAUUGCUCUCGUCUUUGCCAGUCACUUUCUGGAAAUAACAAUUUUGGGAUGUAAAAAUGGUUGAACGGUGUCGUAUUGAUUACAGACAGUGAAUGUGCAAAUACAUAAAAUGAAUGAAACAUAAUCAAAAUUUUCUAAAUUAGUACAAAAUAUAGAAAAUAAAUAACUAA